This is a long non-coding RNA of Patella vulgata (common limpet), 1986 nucleotides long. RefSeq lists it as uncharacterized. The record is from RefSeq and is a predicted model, not a curated record. The transcript is spliced from 8 exons. NCBI's taxonomy places the organism in Eukaryota, Metazoa, Mollusca, Gastropoda, Patellidae.
AUAUAGAACCUAUUAUGCGGGCAAUCCUCUUAAGCAUGCGUGUUUGGUGUUAUUAUUAAGGUUUUCAACGUGAAUAUCGAAGAGACUUUCUGGAUAUUAUUGUUGCAGUGGGAGAGUUUCGGAUAAACAUUGAUAUCGUGUUCCUAAUUGCCAAUCAUCAUGCCGCAAGUCAAGUCAUUUGCGUGUGUCCGGAUCAUUUUUAUGAUUCUAAAUGUAUUGUUAUUGUUAAUGGGAAUAGCUAUGAUAGCGGUUGGAUGUUAUGUACAACUAAGUAAAGGAAACGUCCUCAUUUUAUUACCAGACUAUGAGUUUGUCAACGUGGUAGCUGUGAUGGUGGCAUCAGGGAUUAUCGUUCUUGUAGUGUCUAUCAUUGGAUUCUGUGGAGCCUGUAUGCUGAGUCAAUGUAUGCUGAUUAUUUAUUUUACUAUGAUACUGGUUGUGUUUGCCCUUCAAAUAUCAGUUGGAAUAAUAGCUUAUAUCUACAGAGACGAGGUCAAUCGAAGCCUCGAGGAACAGUUGUUGGCUGGAUUAGAGAACCGUAAAGUACAACAAUCAUGGGAUGCUAUUCAAAGAGGUUUCCAAUGUUGCGGUGUUCGCGGACCGGAAGAUUGGAGUAAUCGCGGAGCGUAUUCUAACAAUGAUGUACCCGAUUCCUGCUGUCAGUAUUCAGGCUGUGGAACUGGUGGAGUAAACGCCUAUAAAGCUGGAUGUUUAAAUACAGCUAAAAUGUUUAUUAGUGAUAAUUUCCUGGCAUUAGGCGCCACUGGCAUCGCUUUAGGACUUUUACAGUUAUUUUUAAUGGCUAUAGCACUAGCAAUGAUUUGCUGUCUUAGAAAAGGAAGACAUAUAGAAAGUACCUUGGCAUAAACAUAACAUAUUUCAUAAUAUAGCAUUGUCCAAUAAUAAACCCGGAAACAGAUCACAUAGAGAUACUUUAGUUGAAUACAAAGAAGCAGAUAAUUUGGGCAGCAAGAAACCUUGAUUACGCAUCUAUCGUAGCAAUGAUCUCCGUGUUAAAAUUAUAUUUGGGACGUGUUUAACGAGUUCUAUCACAUGUGAUAAUGAAUGACACCAAUAUUGCCCUUUAAGAUAAAUCUUCCUAGUUUAAAUGGGUGUAAAUAUGUUUCCCAAAGAGUUUCGAAGAAAUUUCCUAAAUAUUUGGGCUACAAUAUCCAUAAACACGUUCGUGUUUCGUAUUAAUCGAGGGUUUAUUGUCCAUUUAUCCAUGCUUCAAUUAUCCAUUAGCACACCUUGACGCAACCGCGUCUCGUGUUCUAAUAAUUCAAGCAUGGUUAAAUGGAAAAUAAACCCCCUCUAAAUACAAAAAACGUACGUGUUUAUCUCCAAAUUAACAUGACAAACCCAUAAUCAACUCUUUAGAUCAUCGGAUUAGAACAUCUGUGCCAUUUAAUAAUUUAACGCUAAAAUGAAUAAUCGAGAUUUUGUUUAUUAUCGUAGCAAUGAUACAUGACAAUAGAGACUAUCUAUAACUUCGCCUAGGAUUGGCAAGUUCCUGUCCAAAUCUUGUAAAUAAUGCAUUUGUAAAUGUAUAUAGCGGAACUAUGAUCAUCUAAUUCCUGGAAGUCUGUUAUAUUUAACUCUUAAAAACAUUUUCUACUCUUUGUUUAAUUCUAAUCGCCCUAGGCCCUUAUUCACGAAAACUUAAACUAAGAUACAAUCGAAAUUUUAAGAAAUACUGCAAUUCGAUUAGCUGACCAAUAUGCAAAUUGGAUAUAUGCAAAUUGAUUUUACUGGUCAGCCAAUCGAAUUGCAGUAUUUCUUAAAAUUUCGAUUGUAUCUUAGUUUAAGUUUUCGUGAAUAAGGGCCCUGCACUGGGUAAUAUAAAGUAACAUUUUAAUAAUUUCCCUAGAUCAGGGAAGGUUGUUUUAACCAUCUGUAUAUUAUAUUGUAUGAAAUGUAAGAUUAAACAAAGUAAAUAUUAUUGUUAUAUAUCUUGUAAAAACAAUAAAAGCAGUUAUUUUGUAA